UGUUACUGUCUGAAAUUGUCGAGAAGCUUCGUUAUCCAUUUCCAGAUUUUUGUUUCUCUCUACCUCCAUUCACGAUGAAGAAUACAUCAAACUUCUCUCUAAAAAUCUGGCUAGAUUUUUUGCUUAAUCUUGCGAUUCUGAGUGUCUAAUGGGCAUAACUGUUCAAAAAUAUUUGAUUUUAGAACAGAUCUUUGAAUCUGAUGUUUGCUGUUUACACUACUUAGCUAGGUUUCAUUCUUGAAGUUUUGUUUUCGAGAUUCACCGUUCGCCAAAACCGAAACCAAAACCGUCUCUAGGGAGUUCGCAUCAUCCAAUUCCGGCAUAAGCUUGCGCGAUUGAAUCCAGUCGCACUCAAUUUAGGUGUAUGUUGGGAUAUCGCUAAUUUUAUCACCGAUUUGCUUAAGAUGAGUUCUUUCAUUUGUAAUUUUGGCCAUCUGUUUAUAUAUUCAUGAAAUCUGGAGCAUGUUUGGAUAACUCUAAUUCCUCACAGCUUGAUUCAUGCUAGAGACAAAACUAUAUUGGUUACGGGCUAAAAAUUAAACCCUAGUUCGUCGGCGAUGUUGGAUUUGUCGGCCAUGUUCGCAUUCAGCUCAUCAUAAACAUGAAGUAUUACCAUGUUCGCGAUGUUGAUUUCAAAACCUAAUUCCAGAAAACCCUAUGAGAUAAGUGAUUCUGGUCUAUCUAUUUCUACUUACUUAUUUCGAUUUGAUUGACUAUUUUGUUUUGCAUGUUAGUCAAAAUUAGAUUUCUGUAAAACCCUAUAUACAUACUUUCGCGAUUUUGUAUCAGAACAAAUGUACAGUAAAUUUCCGUUUGUAAAAUGAAGAAAUUACUAACAAUGUAUUUUUUUUUUUUGUUUUUCAGAGCAAAAAGAUGGAGGCUACAACAUUGGUAAAAUCAAUCUAAGCACUGCUACUAUAUAGAACACAUCAUAAAAAAAAGUGAAAGAGGAUGCAAAGCUUUACCAAAUCUGCAGCCCAGAUUUUGCAGCAACAACUACUGCUUCCCCUAAGCACAUCCCCGUUCGUGAAGCUUCCCCUGCACAUCCUUCUUGAUGCUAUUCAUUCCAGCCUAUCUCCUCUAAAUACAUGAACAUCUUCGUCCAGACUUUGCGCUUCAACCCCUCCGUAUCUAUCUCCAAUUGGCUGUGAUAUAAGACUUAUUUAUAAUGUUGAAGUAGGUAUAGAUUUAAUAUAACAGAUUUUGAAUUUGAAAUUUAUCUCCAAACAAUUAAUGUUAGUCUAGUAGAUUGUAAUAGUCUUAUUGGAAUUUGUAAGCAUGCUUUGUUUGUUGCAAUAAUCUGAACACAAUAAAUACAUUCAAUAGAGCUAGAGAUAUAUAUUUAUUAUUCUGA
Ipomoea nil (Japanese morning glory) is the source of this 1354-nucleotide long non-coding RNA. RefSeq lists it as uncharacterized. The transcript has 5 exons. The record is from RefSeq and is a predicted model, not a curated record. NCBI's taxonomy places the organism in Eukaryota, Viridiplantae, Streptophyta, Magnoliopsida, Solanales, Convolvulaceae.